RNAcentral lists this ribosomal RNA (247 nucleotides) under uncultured bacterium. Its description in RNAcentral is "partial 16S ribosomal RNA". It matches the Rfam family "Bacterial small subunit ribosomal RNA", at positions 523 to 769 of the family's 1533-position model. The record is from RNAcentral.
AUACGGAAGGUCCAGGCGUUAUCCGGAUUUAUUGGGUUUAAAGGGAGCGUAGGCCGUCUGUUAAGCGUGUUGUGAAAUGUAGAUGCUCAACAUCUGAAUUGCAGCGCGAACUGGCAGACUUGAGUGUGCGCAACGUAGGCGGAAUUCGUGGUGUAGCGGUGAAAUGCUUAGAUAUCACGAAGAACUCCGAUUGCGAAGGCAGCUUACGGGAGCACAACUGACGCUGAGGCAUGAAAGCGUGGGGAGC